RNAcentral lists this ribosomal RNA (102 nucleotides) under Buccinum striatissimum. RNAcentral's name for it is "partial 5.8S rRNA". It matches the Rfam family "5.8S ribosomal RNA", at positions 57 to 154 of the family's 154-position model. From Rfam's summary of the family: 5.8S ribosomal RNA (5.8S rRNA) is a component of the large subunit of the eukaryotic ribosome. It is transcribed by RNA polymerase I as part of the 45S precursor that also contains 18S and 28S rRNA. Lineage: Eukaryota; Metazoa; Mollusca; Gastropoda; Neogastropoda; Buccinidae. The record is from RNAcentral.
GUGAACUAAUGUGAAUUGCAGGACACAUUGAACAUCGACACUUUGAACGCAUAUUGCGGCCAAGGGUUCCGUCCUUUGGCCACGCCCGUCUGAGGGUCGGCU